AUCGAACGCUGGCGGCAGGCCUAACACAUGCAAGUCGAGCGAGCGGCGGACGGGUGAGUAAUGUCUGGGAAACUGCCUGAUGGAGGGGGAUAACUACUGGAAACGGUAGCUAAUACCGCAUACCAUCAGAUCUGCCCAGAUGGGAUUAGCUAGUAGGGGGGGUAAUGGCUCACCUAGGCGACGAUCCCUAGCUGGUCUGAGAGGGUGACCAGCCACACUGGGACUGAGACACGGUCCAGACUCCUACGGGAGGCAGCAGUGGGGAAUAUUGCACAAUGGGCGAAAGCCUGAUGCAGCAAUGCCGCGUGUGUGAAGAAGGCCUUCGGGUUGUAAAGCACUGUCAGCGGGGAGGCGUUACUCGCAGAGGAAGCACCGGCUAACUCCGUGCCAGCAGCCGCGGUAAUAC
Molecule: ribosomal RNA, 406 nt
Filed under: uncultured bacterium
Lineage: Bacteria
Description: partial 16S ribosomal RNA
Rfam family: Bacterial small subunit ribosomal RNA
Source: RNAcentral